GUGGGGAAUAUUGGACAAUGGGCGAAAGCCUGAUCCAGCCAUGCCGCGUGUGUGAAGAAGGCCUUCGGGUUGUAAACUGCUUUUGUACGGAACGAAACGGUCCGGGUUAAUACCCUGGGCUAAUGACGGUACCGUAAGAAUAAGCACCGGCUAACUACGUGCCAGCAGCCGCGGUAAUACGUAGGGUGCAAGCGUUAAUCGGAAUUACUGGGCGUAAAGCGUGCGCAGGCGGUUUUGUAAGACAGGCGUGAAAUCCCCGGGCUCAACCUGGGAAUUGCGUUUGUGACUGCAAGGCUGGAGUGCGGCAGAGGGGGAUGGAAUUCCGCGUGUAGCAGUGAAAUGCGUAGAUAUGCGGAGGAACACCGAUGGCGAAGGCAAUCCCCUGGGCCUGCACUGACGCUCAUGCACGAAAGCGUGGGGAGCAAACAGGAUUAGAAACCCGAGUAGUCC
This 450-nucleotide ribosomal RNA is filed under the name uncultured bacterium. RNAcentral's name for it is "partial 16S ribosomal RNA". It matches the Rfam family "Bacterial small subunit ribosomal RNA", at positions 354 to 796 of the family's 1533-position model. The record is from RNAcentral.